CGCCUCUUGCCCAUNUCCUAUAAGAGGUCAAACCUGCCCAGUGAUAUAUUAGAUUCAACGGCCGCGGUAUUUUGACCGUGCUAAGGUAGCGCAAUCACUUGUCAUUUAAAUGAAGACCAGUAUGAAUGGUUUCACGAGGGCUUAACUGUCUCCCCCCUUAGGUCAAUGAAAUUGAUCUCCCCGUGCAGAAGCGGGGAUUCGUACAUAAGACGAGAAGACCCUGUGGAGCUUGAAAUAGAUGUAUACAGCAAGUCAAUAACCCCUAUAACAUGUACGAACUUAUUGAUUUUUAUAUAAUAUUUUUGGUUGGGGCGACCCUGAGAAAAACAAAACCCUCAUGCGGAAUAAGGAUAUCUUUACACUAGACCAUCUCUCCUUAAAACCCAGAAAGUCAUUUCCAGACAACAGAAUUUCUGACCUACAGGAUCCGGCAUUGCCGACCAACGAACCUAGUUACCCCAGGGAUAACAGCGCAAUCCCCUCUCAGAGUCCCUAUCGACGAGGGGGUUUACGACCUCGAUGUUGGAUCAGGACAUCCUAAUGAUGCAGCUGUUAUUAAGGGUUCGUUUGUUCAACGAUUAAAGUCCU
Molecule: ribosomal RNA, 588 nt
Filed under: Symphurus thermophilus (Western Pacific tonguefish)
Lineage: Eukaryota; Metazoa; Chordata; Actinopteri; Pleuronectiformes; Cynoglossidae
Description: partial 16S ribosomal RNA
Rfam family: Bacterial large subunit ribosomal RNA
Source: RNAcentral